GGCGGCAACAGCGCGGUGGUCCCACCUGACCCCAUGCCGAACUCAGAAGUGAAACGCCGUAGCGCCGAUGGUAGUGUGGGGUCUCCCCAUGUGAGAGUAGGGAACUGCCAGGC
RNAcentral lists this ribosomal RNA (113 nucleotides) under Pluralibacter gergoviae. The record is from RNAcentral. Lineage: Bacteria; Pseudomonadati; Pseudomonadota; Gammaproteobacteria; Enterobacterales; Enterobacteriaceae.